This 771-nucleotide ribosomal RNA is filed under the name uncultured bacterium. RNAcentral describes it as "bacterial SSU rRNA". It matches the Rfam family "Bacterial small subunit ribosomal RNA", at positions 8 to 796 of the family's 1533-position model. The record is from RNAcentral.
AGAGUUUGAUCCUGGCUCAGGACGAACGCUGGCGGCGUGCUUAACACAUGCAAGUCGAACGGAAAGGCCCUUCGGGGUACUCGAGUGGCGAGCGGGUGAGUAACACGUGGGUGAUCUGCCCUGCACUUUGGGAUAAGCCUGGGAAACUGGGUCUAAUACCGAAUAUGACCAUGCGCCUCCUGGUGUGUGGUGGAAAGCUUUUGCGGUGUGGGAUGGGCCCGCGGCCUAUCAGCUUGUUGGUGGGGUAAUGGCCUACCAAGGCGACGACGGGUAGCCGGCCUGAGAGGGUGACCGGCCACACUGGGACUGAGAUACGGCCCAAACUCCUACGGGAGGCAGCAGUGGGGAAUAUUGCACAAUGGGCGCAAGCCUGAUGCAGCGACGCCGCGUGAGGGAUGACGGCCUUCGGGUUGUAAACCUCUUUCAGCACAGACGAAGCGCAAGUGACGGUAUGAGCAGAAGAAGGACCGGCCAACUACGUGCCAGCAGCCGCGGUAAUACGUAGGGUCCGAGCGUUGUCCGGAAUUACUGGGCGUAAAGAGCUCGUAGGUGGUUUGUCGCGUUGUUCGUGAAAACUCACAGCUUAACUGUGGGCGUGCGGGCGAUACGGGCAGACUUGAGUACUGCAGGGGAGACUGGAAUUCCUGGUGUAGCGGUGGAAUGCGCAGAUAUCAGGAGGAACACCGGUGGCGAAGGCGGGUCUCUGGGCAGUAACUGACGCUGAGGAGCGAAAGCGUGGGGAGCGAACAGGAUUAGAUACCCUGGUAGUCC